RNAcentral lists this unclassified non-coding RNA (160 nucleotides) under uncultured fungus. RNAcentral describes it as "sequence contains ITS2". The record is from RNAcentral. Lineage: Eukaryota; Fungi.
AGACUCAAUCCCUCGGGUUUCCGAGGAGAUUGGACCUGGGUGUUGCCGCUCUGCCGGCUCGCCUUAAAAGACUUAGCGGGAUAGCACCGUAGUCGGCGUAAUAAGUUUCGUCGGUGAAGGUUGUGAUGACUGCUUACAAUCGCCCUCGGGCAAUUUUUGA